Molecule: ribosomal RNA, 684 nt
Filed under: Cylindrospermum sp. BTA 906
Lineage: Bacteria; Bacillati; Cyanobacteriota; Cyanophyceae; Nostocales; Nostocaceae
Description: bacterial SSU rRNA
Rfam family: Bacterial small subunit ribosomal RNA
Source: RNAcentral
CUAGGGGAGCGAAUGGGAUUAGAUACCCUAAUAGUCCUAGCCGUAAACGAUGUAUACUAGCGUGUGGGGUGUAUGGAAUUCCUGAGCCGUGCCGUAGCUAACGCGUUAAGUAUCCCGCCUGGGGAGUACGCACGCAAGUGUGAAACUCAAAGGAAUUGACGGGGGCCCGCACAAGCGGUGGAGUAUGUGGUUUAAUUCGAUGCAACGCGAAGAACCUUACCAAGACUUGACAUGUCGCGAAUCCUGCUGAAAGGUGGGAGUGCCUUCGGGAGCGCGAACACAGGUGGUGCAUGAAAGUCGUCAGCUCGUGUCGUGAGAUGUUGGGUUAAGUCCCGCAACGAGCGCAACCCUCGUUUUUAGUUGCCAGCAUUGAGUUGGGCACUCUAGAAAGACUGCCGGUGACAAACCGGAGGAAGGUGGGGAUGACGUCAAGUCAGCAUGCCCCUUACGUCUUGGGCUACACACGUACUACAAUGCUACGGACAAAGGGCAGCAAGCUAGCGAUAGCAAGCAAAUCCCAUAAACCGUGGCUCAGUUCAGAUCGAAGCUUGCAACUCAGCUUCGUGAAGGAGGAAUCGCUAGUAAUUGCAGGUCAGCAUUUUGCAGUGAAUUCGUUCCCGGGCCUUGUACACACCCCCCCUCUCNCCCUAGAAGCUGGUCACGCCCGAAGUCAUUACCCCAACC